This 1568-nucleotide ribosomal RNA is filed under the name uncultured bacterium. Its description in RNAcentral is "bacterial SSU rRNA". It matches the Rfam family "Bacterial small subunit ribosomal RNA". The record is from RNAcentral.
AGAGUUUGAUCAUGGCUCAGAACGAACGCUGACGGCGUGGCUAAGACAUGCAAGUCGUACGGACCAUCUGAUUGAGUAAUCGAGAGGAUGGUUAGUGGCGAAAGGGUGAGUAAUUCAUAGGUAACGUACCCCUAGCUCUGGGAUAGCUGCGUCCCGCAAGGGCUUUAGCGAAAGUGCAGAUAAUACCGGAUGAAAUCUUNGAGUCGCAUGGCUUGAAGAUCAAAGGGCUUUUGUACCGGCAAGGGAGCGGCCUGUGUCGUAUCAGCUAGUUGGUGAGGUAACGGCCCACCAAGGCGACGACGCGUANNGGGACUGAGAGGUUGACCCGCCACAUCGGGACUGAGACACUGCCCGGACCUCCACGGAGGGCUGCAGUAACGAAUAUUGCGCAAUGGACGAAAGUCUGACGCAGCGACGCCGUGUGUAGGAUGAAGUCCUUCGGGAUGUAAACUACUGUCGGGGUGAAGAAAGGUGAGGGCUGUAAUGCCUGAACUUGAUCGAUCCCAGAGGAAGCCACGGCUAACUUCGUGCCAGCAGCCGCGGUAAGACGAAGGUGGCAAGCGUUGUUCGGAAUUAUUGGGCUUAAAGCGCAUGCAGGCGGGAAGUUAAGUGUUCUGUGAAAUCCCUCGGCUUAACCGAGGACUAGCGGGGCAAACUAGCUUUCUUGAGGCAAGUAGGGGUGUAUGGAACUCUAGGUGGAGCGGUGAAAUGCGUAGAUAUCUAGAGGAACGCCAGCGGAGAAAUCGGUAAACUGGACUUGUUCUGACGCUGAGGUGCGAAAGCGUGGGUAGCGAACGGGAUUAGAUACCCCGGUAGUCCACGCUGUAAACGAUGUCUACUAGGUCGUGGAGGUUCUGACACCUUCGCGGCCGAAGCAAAAGUGUUAAGUAGACCGCCUGGGGAGUACGGUCGCAAGGCUAAAACUCAAAGGAAUUGACGGGGGCUCACACAAGCGGUGGAGCAUGUGGCUUAAUUCGAAGCAACGCGAAGAACCUUAUCCUGGGUUUGACAUGUAUGGAUGCCCUCGAUGAAAGUCGAGUAAGCUGCCUUCGGGUGAAACAUACACAGGUGCUGCAUGGCUGUCGUCAGCUCGUGUCGUGAGAUGUUGGGUUAAGUCCCUUAACGAGCGAAACCCUUGUCGUUAGUUACCAUCGAGCCUUCGGGUGUCGGGGACUCUAACGAGACUGCCGGUGUCAAACCGGAGGAAGGUGGGGAUGACGUCAAGUCCUCAUGGCCUUUAUGCCCAGGGCUGCACACGUGCUACAAUGGCGCGGACAAACCGAUGCAAGACCGUGAGGUGGAGCAAAUCGGAAAAACCGCGUCUCAGUUCGGAUUGCAGGCUGCAACUCGCCUGCAUGAAGUCGGAAUCGCUAGUAAUCGCAGAUCAGUACGCUGCGGUGAAUAAGUUCCUGAGCCUUGUACACACCGCCCGUCAAGUCAUGGGAGCCGGGAGUACCUGAAGUCGGGUAGCUAACCGAAAGGGGGCGCCUGCCGAUGGUAAGCUCGGUGACUGGGGCUAAGUCGUAACAAGGUAGCCGUAGGGGAACCUGUGGUUGGAUCACCUCCUU